This is a long non-coding RNA of Carassius gibelio (silver crucian carp), 1596 nucleotides long. RefSeq lists it as uncharacterized. The transcript has 4 exons. The record is from RefSeq and is a predicted model, not a curated record. NCBI's taxonomy places the organism in Eukaryota, Metazoa, Chordata, Actinopteri, Cypriniformes, Cyprinidae.
UAAUUCAAUUUUAUUUUCUCUCCCCUUUUUUAUUAUUUUUAUUUUUAGCUGAAAAGACGUAAAGGCAGUCAGCCCAGUGGUGUUUCUGGAGAGGGAUUCCUUCAGAAAUGGAGAAGACAGAAAGCUGCGGAGGCAGAUAUUUGCAGCAGUAAGUCUGUGAUAGUUUGUCUCUUUUAUCAAAAAUUCCUGCUGUUAUAAUUUGUACAGCAUUUGUUGUUUCUUAAACUGUUGCACUGUCCAAAUACCCACACUUGCCAUCUUUUCACUUGACCACUUGAUUACUUAUUUGAAGUCUUUCCUGCAUUUGGCCUAGUGUUCGAGUGAGCAUGAUGACCACGAGUGUGUGUCGAACUUUUCAUGACCUGAUGACUGUGUUUCCCAAUCCUGAUCCUGGAGAACCCCAGCACUGCACGGUUUUGGCGUCUCUCUUAUCUGACAAACACACUUUUGAGGUCUUGGAGUCUUCACUGAUGAGCUGAUGAGUUGAAUCAGGUGUGUUUGAUCAGGGAGACAUCUCAAAUGUGCAGUGUUGGGGUUCUCCAGGACCAGGAUUGGGAGCCACUGCCUUAUGGGACACUUAUGUGUUUAAAGAGAUUUUUAAUAUCUAAUUAUCAAUAUUUCACAUACUGUACUAAACACAUCACAGUCUUAAUAAUCCAGUUUAACACUUGUAUGAUAUUGUACAAGCCCCAGGACGGUCUCAUCUGACACUAUCAAAAUAAUUCAUAUGACUAUAGCUUGCUAUUAAUUACUUGCUUUCAAUAAUGGAUUCAUUUAACAUUUAAUUUUACAGCAUCUUUACAGAGGUGUAAUGUACAAGCUGCACGUAAUUAAUAAUAUGUCCUUCCUUCUGUCUUACAGGAUUUUUUCCAGAUAAUGCUGUUCUUCUUUUUCAGGUCUAAAAUAUCGAGCUCAACAGCUAUUUUAAGAGCCAACCCUCACAAACCUUCCUAAAACCUAAAAGAGCUAUUACUGAGUCUCAGCGAAUCUUGCCAUGAUCAGCUCUUCCCAGAAGAGAAGGAAGACCAAGGAAAUGAUUUGCUCAGGAUGAGGAAUGAAGAUGGCCAUCUUGUGCUCAAACAAACAGAAGUCCUCUGAUGAUCUCAUCAGCCAAAUGAGAGGUUUUGACCAAGUGAUGCUCUUGAAAGGAGUGGAUGUGGUAAAUUGUCUUCAGAGAAAAAGCUUCUCAAAAGGUCUCAAAACAGCUUGAAGAAUGGUCUGGGAUGUUAGGACUGAGAGAUCCUCUGGCUGAGAACAAGCUACACCUCAUCAGUGCUGGACAUCAACCACAAACUGUUUCCAGACACGAGAGAAGAAGAACACGAUGGGGAGAUGAAACCAGUUUAGAUGUGAUGAUGGGAAUCAUUAUUUUCUGGAACAGUAUCUCAUGUCUUAUAUGUAUCACAUGAUCUGUAUCACAGUUGACUGGAUGGGACUGUGUGACUUUUAAGGACAUUUCAUCACUCAUCUGUGUGAACUGAUUUAUAUAUGAGGUUAAUGUAUCUUUGAUGAUAAUUAUUUUCAUUGAAUCUUAUUUGUCUUGAUGCUACUUUAUCAACUUUAUAGUCUAUGCUUCAAUAAAAUGAAAAUGGUGAA